RNAcentral lists this transfer RNA (73 nucleotides) under Klebsiella pneumoniae. Its description in RNAcentral is "tRNA-Ser". It matches the Rfam family "tRNA". Rfam says of the family: Transfer RNA (tRNA) molecules are approximately 80 nucleotides in length. The record is from RNAcentral. Lineage: Bacteria; Pseudomonadati; Pseudomonadota; Gammaproteobacteria; Enterobacterales; Enterobacteriaceae.
UGGGGUAUCGCCAAGCGGUAAGGCACCGGUCUGAUUCCGGCAUUCCGAGGUUCGAAUCCUCGUACCCCAGCCA